AAGGGUAUAGCUCAGUGGUAGAGCGCAUGCUUAGCAUGCAGGAGGUCCUGGGUUCAAUCCUCAGUACCUCCA
This 72-nucleotide transfer RNA is filed under the name Camelus bactrianus (Bactrian camel). It matches the Rfam family "tRNA". From Rfam's summary of the family: Transfer RNA (tRNA) molecules are approximately 80 nucleotides in length. RNAcentral also lists the same sequence under 2 other names. The record is from Rfam by way of RNAcentral. Lineage: Eukaryota; Metazoa; Chordata; Mammalia; Artiodactyla; Camelidae.